Molecule: ribosomal RNA, 493 nt
Filed under: uncultured archaeal symbiont ST120
Lineage: Archaea
Description: bacterial SSU rRNA
Rfam family: Archaeal small subunit ribosomal RNA
Source: RNAcentral
UAAAGGAAUUGGCGGGGGAGCACCGCAACGGGAGGAGCGUGCGGUUUAAUUGGAUUCAACACCGGAAAACUCACCAGGAGCGACGGUUACAUGAAAGUCAGGCUGAUGACCUUACUCGAUUUUCCGAGAGGUGGUGCAUGGCCGCCGUCAGUUCGUACCGUAAGGCGUUCUCUUAAGUGAGAUAACGAACGAGACCCUCACCAAUAGUUGCUACUUCAUCCUCCGGGAUGGAGGCACACUAUUGGGACCGCUGGCGCUAAGUCAGAGGAAGGAGAGGUCAACGGUAGGUCAGUAUGCCCCGAAUUUCCUGGGCUACACGCGCGCUACAAAGGGCGGGACAAUGGGCUCCGACACCGAAAGGUGAAGGUAAUCUCGAAACCCGUCCGUAGUUCGGAUUGAGGGUUGUAACUCACCCUCAUGAAGCUGGAUUCCGUAGUAAUCGCGAAUCAACAACUCGCGGUGAAUAUGCCCCUGCUCCUUGCACACACCGCCA